CUUCAUUAAGAAGGGAUUGAAUCAUCAACUUCAUCAUUUGACUCUAAGACACCAAAACAAAUGCUCCAAAACUCCAUUUUUCCUCUCAAAGGUGCCGAACCCUUACCUCCAUCCCAAAUUUUCUCAACCAAAUUUGAUGAUUUUGGAGGCAAAAUGAUCAUAAGGCAAUAAGGAACUAAGGAGGUACAUGUUGUGUUUAGAGCUAGAAUUUUGAAGAAAUGAUCAUGAUCUUUGGAGGAAUUCAGUUCGGCCAUGGAGCUAAGACAUCACCCAAGACUGGACGAGUGACUAUCGAUACGGCUCAAGGCGUACGGAUUGAGAUAUCGUCGUGCUUAUUUGAAGAAUUUGGAUAGCAAGUGGGAUAGCAUGAUAUGAUUUGAAGAGUCAAUCUUCCGAAGUUCUAAUUCUCGGAAGUGAUUUGUACAAGAAGAAAAAGAAUGUUUUCGUUCUAGCAGUCCGCAGUAGUCUAGAAUUUGUUAACUAUACUAUUGUAUAACGCGUUUUAACUCUGAUAUUAUUUGUAAGUGGGGUCACAUGUAUUUUAAUAUAUGAAAUAUGUUUUGAUUUGCGAAAAA
Long non-coding RNA from Mercurialis annua (annual mercury), 575 nucleotides. RefSeq lists it as uncharacterized. The record is from RefSeq and is a predicted model, not a curated record. The transcript has 4 exons. Lineage: Eukaryota; Viridiplantae; Streptophyta; Magnoliopsida; Malpighiales; Euphorbiaceae.